Molecule: ribosomal RNA, 253 nt
Filed under: uncultured bacterium
Lineage: Bacteria
Description: partial 16S ribosomal RNA
Rfam family: Bacterial small subunit ribosomal RNA
Source: RNAcentral
UACGAAGGAGGCUAGCGUUGCUCGGAAUCACUGGGCGUAAAGCGCACGUAGGCGGCUUUCUAAGUCAGGGGUGAAAUCCUGGAGCUCAACUCCAGAACUGCCUUUGAUACUGGAGAGCUCGAGUCCGGGAGAGGUGAGUGGAACUCCGAGUGUAGAGGUGAAAUUCGUAGAUAUUCGCAAGAACACCAGUGGCGAAGGCGGCUCACUGGCCCGGUACUGACGCUGAGGUGCGAAAGCGUGGGGAGCAAACAGG